Molecule: transfer RNA, 24 nt
Filed under: Lubomirskia fusifera
Lineage: Eukaryota; Metazoa; Porifera; Demospongiae; Spongillida; Lubomirskiidae
Description: partial tRNA-Met
Source: RNAcentral
AGUAAAGUUGACUAAGGGUUGGUU